Molecule: long non-coding RNA, 1565 nt
Organism: Homo sapiens (human)
Lineage: Eukaryota; Metazoa; Chordata; Mammalia; Primates; Hominidae
Gene: BDNF-AS
Product: BDNF antisense RNA
Source: Ensembl
CUAGUAUCGCGAGAUCAGGAAGGUGGCCGAGUGUGUCGCCGCGGCCAUCAGGCACUUCUCCUUCCUGCCCUUGUAUGAAGAAGGAUGUGUUUGCUUCCCCUUGUGCCAUGAUUGUAAAUUUCCUGAGGCCUCCUCAGCCCUGCAGAACUGGGGUUAUAGCCAUGUGACUGAUCUUCGUCCAAGAAUAUGUAAAGAAAAAGUGUUGAGUUGGCUUUUAGGGCUAGAGCAAUGUAUCUUAGGCUCACUUAAGGAAGCUGUAGAGAUGAGCCCAAGGAGGGAAACCAGAAGAGCCCCCCAGGCUCACCAGUUGUUUGUUGGCUCCCUACAAACAUGUCAUUCAAGUGGCUAAUCUUACAACAGCACAAAUUCAUCUAACCAGAAAGAGAAGAGGAGGCUCCAAAGGCACUUGACUACUGAGCAUCACCCUGGACGUGUACAAGUCUGCGUCCUUAUUGUUUUCUUCAUUGGGCCGAACUUUCUGGUCCUCAUCCAACAGCUCUUCUAUCACGUGUUCGAAAGUGUCAGCCAAUGAUGUCAAGCCUCUUGAACCUGCCUUGGGCCCAUUCACGCUCUCCAGAGUCCCAUGGGUCCGCACACCUGGGUAGGCCAAGCCACCUUGUCCUCGGAUGUUUGCUUCUUUCAUGGGGGCAGCCUUCAUGCAACCAAAGUAUGAAAUAACCAUAAGAUACUCUAUUAUAGCAAAGAAGAAAGAUAAUUUCAUUGAGCCAUCCUGUUUUACAGGAAAUUCUGCAAGUGGCAACGUGGGUCCAUUCCGUGUGUGUCACUAGAGCUGGCGCAAGCCCAUGGCCAUGGUGAGGCAGCGUUUCCACUGGAACUAAUCUGAUACCUGCACCAGCUCUUGCAACUGUGCAGUGUUCCCACUGCAAACUACGGAUGGGGUAAAAGACUGCUCACCUCCUAUUUCUCAUCUAAUCUCACACACUCUGUUUGAUGAGGCUAUGGAGAAACAGGUCUUCUCAUACACUAAAGGUGGGAGUACAAACAAUUCAAGCCCUGUGCAGGACAAUUAGGCAAUACCUAUCAAAAUUAUACAUGAUUUUUCCUGCUGACCCAGCAAUUCCACUUCUGGGAAUAAUUGACAGAUAUAGGUGCAUAUGUACAAAAUGAUGGAAAGCUCUCUGGUAUAUAUUAGUAAGUGAUAAAACAAGGUGUAAAAUAGUGUAUAUAUGGCUACUACCUUUUGUUUUAAAAAUGGGGGAAAAUGGUGGAGCUUGCGGUGAGCCGAGAUCGUGCCACUGCACUCCAGCCUGGGCGACAGAGCGAGACUCCGUCUCAAAAAAAAAACAGGGUGGGGUGGGGGGGAAAUAAUAGUACAUACUCAUAUUUACCUGUAUCUAUAUAAAACACACUAUCAAGGAUUCACAAGAAACUAAUACAAAUGAUCACCUUAUAGAUGGUAUGUAUUGGGGGAUACUGAGGUGAGCAGGGUAUAAGUGGGGCAAGACUUUUCAGUGUAAACUUCUUUUAAAUUUUAUUUUGAUUUUUGAAUAAUGUAAAUUAACUGUCAAAUAAUUAAAUUAAAAAUAACCAAUUUAUUAACAAAA